CACGUAGGCGGGUCUUUAAGUCGGGGGUGAAAUCCUGGAGCUCAACUCCAGAACUGCCUUCGAUACUGAGGAUCUCGAGUCCGGGAAAGGUGAGUGGAACUCCGAGUGUAGAGGUGAAAUUCGUAGAUAUUCGGAAGAACACCAGUGGCGAAGGCGGCUCACUGGCCCGGUACUGACGCUGAGGUGCGAAAGCGUGGGGAGCAAACA
RNAcentral lists this ribosomal RNA (207 nucleotides) under uncultured bacterium. RNAcentral describes it as "partial 16S ribosomal RNA". It matches the Rfam family "Bacterial small subunit ribosomal RNA", at positions 568 to 774 of the family's 1533-position model. The record is from RNAcentral.